GUCAGGCAGAUUUUAGUUGAAAAGCAUUUCCGGUCUAAGAACGCUUUUUUUGAUCCAGCAGGGAUCACUUACAUGAGUGCCGAUGGCCAUCUUCUUCCACGUUGCUCAUCUCGCAAAUAUUAAUGUGCUGGUUGACUAAGAAAUCGAGACUCAUCAGACCAGGCAACAUUCUUCCAGUCUUCAACUGUCCAAUUUUGCACUUCCGCUGGUUUGACUUCCUCUCUUCUGGACUAUUUGCGAGAAGGUACCUCCAAAUUAGAUGGCAAUGUAAAAUCUGUGGAUUUAGAGCAACAACAAGGGGAGAUCUUCUGUAACAUUAGACUACAGCACAGGACGUUUGAGGUUGGAAAUUCAGUACAUUGCCUCUGUUACGAUUGUCCAUGCUCCUUUAGAACAUUGAGAGCUCUGUACACACAUUUGUCAAGAUAUCAUGCAGAAGAUGAAUCUUGGGGGCCAGGAGUAGCUUUCUAUUUCACGUGUUAUUUGCUCAGGCAAAUGAAAAGGAAUAUUUCCAACACCAUGGCAAUCACCUAAGGAGUCAUGAAACUGUAGUGUGCGUUUUUGUUGGAUGUACAUUUAAGACAAAUAUAUGUGGAACAUUUAUUACGCACAAAAGCAGAAUUCACAACCCUCAUUCACUCGAAGACUUUAAGCCAGAUGUCAUUGGUGGACACCAAACUUUACCAAAUGAAUCUGAUUGUUUAGUCUCAGGGGAUAGUGAUUAUGAGAAUACCAGUAUUAAGCCUCCUGUGGAUAUAUCAGAUGAAAUUCACAAAAUAAUUGGGUCACUUCUUUUGAACUUGGAAAGUGUGUGCAAUGUUUCUGGUAAAUUGAUGAUUUGGUGAAGGAGCUUUUUAUAUUCACAGCUUCUGCUCCUGUAAUUUGUCAGCAUGUUGAUGCUAGUUUGAAGAAGUUUAAUUGUGCUGUAGAUGAGGAAAUUGAUACUAAGUUGGUAGAGGAACUAUGCAAGUCACACCCUACAAGCAAAGCACUGGGAGUAGAUGGGCCCAUUGGUUCUUUGUAUAAGAGAAGACAGUAUUACAAUUAACAGUUUGAGUUUGUUGAAACUGUGUUUCCUUGAUUCACAGGAGAAUCUCAGCUUUCAAUAAGUGCCCCUUCUUCAGACCUUGCAGCGUAUAUUGACCAAUAAGGAUAUUGCACUUAAGGUUUUAACAAAACAAACCAAGCACAUCCACUUGGUAUGAAUCCUUUCAAGAUAGGGAAUUUUCCAAGCAAAAAUUCAUUUUUCACUGUAGAGGAACAAUUCAGAGUAGCAUUCAUUCUCAAUGUUGAUUUUGAGGUUUUUAACCCAUUAGGAACAUCAUGUAAAAAACACAAGAUCACUGCAGUUUAUUGGGCCCUGGCACCCCCUCGACAGCACUCUUCACUUUCUGCAAUAUACUUGUCAAGAGUCACUUCACUUUUGUUAGAUGUUACCCUCCUGACCUACUCCAUGACCUUUUUGUAGGCAUUGCUUUUUCAGAAUUGGCACACUGUCUGAAUACUUUCAUUAAGAACAAAUACUUCACAUUGUCAGAACUUAAUGACUUAAUUAAGCAGUUGCCUUUUAAGUUUACAGACGAUCGUAACUGCCUUCAGUCCAUCCCACUAACUUUUGCUAGUUGUUGUAAUAUAGGAAGAAAUGCUCAUGAGAACUAGGCACUCAUAAGGUCACUUCCACUAAUCAUUGGAUCAAGAAGAGCCUCGCUGUGGCCCCUUUCCACUCCCUUGAAUGUGUUACCUUAUUUUGACCUGAAAAUAUGAGUAUCGUCAUAGAUUACAAGACGUUUUACCUCAGCUGAGAUUGACAACCAAACACCAUUUUUUAGAGCACUAUCCUGCACUUAUAGAAGCCUUUGGUCUUCUUGUUGGAUUGUGGACUAUGCACUUUGAGGCCAAACACAGAUUCUUUAAACGUAUAGUGAGGUUCUCAAGCAAUUUCAUGAAUGUCUUAUUGUCACUUUCAACAAAACAUCAGCUGAUGAUGGCUUACAAUUGGCAAAGAAAGAUGGCUAAGCCUGCCCCGAUAAUCAGUAAAGUGUCAUCUUUGCCUUUGGAAUUACUGCAUGUUGAAAUCCAGAAGUCCAUUAAGAAACUGUUCCCCCAGCUGAUAAGUGUACAUUUGUCAAACACUGACUUACCAUGGAACUAGGUAUUCAGCAGGGAUGACUCUUUCAUCCGGAAUAUCAGAAUCCAUGGAGGAGCUAAACUUGACUAUCAAGCAGACAUAUCACCAAUGACUUCAGCCUGCAAUAUUUUUAUCCAGAUUUUGAGGACUUUUUUUUUACUCUCAACUCCACUGCUUAAACACAAAUCCACAAUUUAAGGUUGUGACAAUCGAACCAGUUGUGCUCAAUUUGUAUUCAGUACCACACAAUAAAAGCUACACUGGAAGUGGCAUCUCAGAGCAAUCCCUUGAUGCUGCCUUGACAAGUGCCACUGCACAAGACUCCCUUGACGCAUGUGAUUCAUCACGCACAUCACCCAGGCAGCUGAAGUAUACCUUUGAGGUAUUCCAAAAACGUUUCUUGGAACUGGAUGCUUCAAAGCUGUCAAAAGAAGUCCCUCCAGAGCAAACUUCUGGCUUGACGUGAGACUGUGGUGGUAGUGUAGUCAGAUUAAGGUUAUAAUGCACAGUUCCAGUUGCACUGAAUUACUUUUACAACCUCAGCUUUUCUUCUUAUAUGUGUAUUGUCGUCCUUGAUUAUUAUUCUAUAUUGCUUCUGAUGUUUUGCAUUAAAUGGAGUGGAAUUAUGUAUUCAUGUCUGUCUUUGUUUAAUUGUAUUAUAAUUUACACAUCAUUUGAUACGUGUAUUGAUAUCUUUUUCAUUCAAGCAACAUGUUGAACAUUUCAACCUAUAAUUAAGGUGCUGUUUUUGUCACUUCAGGAGUUUACAAUAUUCAGUGUUUAACGAAUUCAGAUGUAGGCUAUUCCAAAAGCUUUUCGUGAGACUGGAUGCUUCAAAUCUGUGAAACAAAGCCCCAUCCCUCAAGCACACUUCUGGCUUGACAUGAGACUGUGUUGGCAGUGUAGUUGCAUUAUAGUUAUAAUGCACAGUUCCAGUUGUAUAGAAUUACUUUUUAAACUUCUGCUUUUUUGCUUCAACGAUUGUCUGAUUGAUUAUUGCUUCUCAUGUUUUGGCUUAAAUUCAGUGGUAUUAUUUACUAAUGUCUUUCAUUGUUUUAUAUAAUUUGAUAAUUGUAUUAUAUCAUUUGAUUUAUGUAUUGACUUAGUUUUUCAUUCAAGGGCUCAACAUUUUGAACGUAAUUGCAACAUUUAAAAUAAAGUGAAGUGUCC
Esox lucius (northern pike) is the source of this 3298-nucleotide long non-coding RNA. The record is from Ensembl. NCBI's taxonomy places the organism in Eukaryota, Metazoa, Chordata, Actinopteri, Esociformes, Esocidae.